CAGCCGCCACGGUAAAACGGAGGGUGCAAGCGUUAUCCGGAUUUAUUGGGUUUAAAGGGUCCGUAGGCGGAUCUGUAAGUCAGUGGUGAAAUCUCACAGCUUAACUGUGAAACUGCCAUUGAUACUGCAGGUCUUGAGUAAAUUUGAAGUGGCUGGAAUAAGUAGUGUAGCGGUGAAAUGCAUAGAUAUUACUUAGAACACCAAUUGCGAAGGCAGGUCACUAAGAUUUAACUGACGCUGAUGGACGAAAGCGUGGGGAGCAAACAGGAUUAGAUACCCGCGUAGUCCCUGUCUCUUAUAC
RNAcentral lists this ribosomal RNA (301 nucleotides) under uncultured bacterium. RNAcentral's name for it is "partial 16S ribosomal RNA". It matches the Rfam family "Bacterial small subunit ribosomal RNA", at positions 509 to 807 of the family's 1533-position model. The record is from RNAcentral.